This 22-nucleotide non-coding RNA is filed under the name Rattus norvegicus (Norway rat). The record is from RNAcentral. Lineage: Eukaryota; Metazoa; Chordata; Mammalia; Rodentia; Muridae.
UCUAAGGGAUACAGUGCGUGGU